CGCGUAGGCGGUGCAGAUAGUCAGAUGUGAAAUUCCUGGGCUUAACCUGGGGGCUGCAUUUGAUACGUCUGUGCUUGAGUGUGGAAGAGGGUCGUGGAAUUCCCAGUGUAGAGGUGAAAUUCGUAGAUAUUGGGAAGAACACCGGUGGCGAAGGCGGCGACCUGGUCCAUAACUGACGCUGAGGCGCGAAAGCGUGGGGAGCAAACAGGAUUAGAUACCCUGGUAGUCCACGCUGUAAACGAUGUGUGCUGGAUGUUGGGCAGCCUAGCUGUUCAGUGUCGUAGCUAACGCGAUAAGCACACCGCCGUGGGGAGUACGGCCGCAAGGUUGAA
RNAcentral lists this ribosomal RNA (332 nucleotides) under uncultured bacterium. Its description in RNAcentral is "bacterial SSU rRNA". It matches the Rfam family "Bacterial small subunit ribosomal RNA", at positions 568 to 898 of the family's 1533-position model. The record is from RNAcentral.